This is a long non-coding RNA of Lathyrus oleraceus (garden pea), 422 nucleotides long. RefSeq lists it as uncharacterized. The transcript has 3 exons. NCBI's taxonomy places the organism in Eukaryota, Viridiplantae, Streptophyta, Magnoliopsida, Fabales, Fabaceae. The record is from RefSeq and is a predicted model, not a curated record.
UUCGGUUGACCUUGUAUUAGAUACCGACGCGCUUCUACCAUUACCUGACGUUGUUUCAGAGACAACGUUGAUGCGAGAUGCAGUCGGAUCCUUUGUUGGAUGACCGUCAGAUCUAAUUUUCCCAGAUGCCGAGACUCCUACAAGACCCACACAUAAAGCUGGUAAAGGGAUUUCAAGACGCAUCGAGUCAGUUGCAUCUCAAAAAGAGGUUCCCGGUCGAAAGUUGAAAAAAGCUGGUAACGAUAUUCCAACGACGUCCGGGACAAAAUCUCAAAUUAUGAUGCGUCUUGAGAAAAUGGUGGAAGAGUCCGAUAUUAUGCACGGCGCCAUCCGUAGUGUAGAUUUUGAUGAAGGUGUUUUCGGAAUUGCUCAUUCCGAAAUAAUUGCAAAGGAGGACAUGCAACAACUUUUUGAACACGAAG